This 292-nucleotide ribosomal RNA is filed under the name uncultured bacterium. Its description in RNAcentral is "partial 16S ribosomal RNA". It matches the Rfam family "Bacterial small subunit ribosomal RNA", at positions 505 to 796 of the family's 1533-position model. The record is from RNAcentral.
GUGCCAGCCGCCGCGGUAAUACGUAGGCAGCAAGCGUUGUUCGGAAUUACUGGGCGUAAAGAGUGUGUAGGCGGUUCGCCAAGUCUGGCGUGAAAUCUCCCGGCUUAACUGGGAGGGUGCGCCGGAUACUGGCGGGCUGGAGUGCGGGAGAGGAGAGCGGAAUUCCUGGUGUAGCGGUGAAAUGCGUAGAUAUCAGGAGGAACACCUGCGGUGUAGACGGCUCUCUGGACCGCUACUGACGCUGAGACACGAAAGCGUGGGGAGCAAACAGGAUUAGAUACCCGUGUAGUCC